CAGCGGGCGGAGGAUAAAAGCUGCCGCGGCUGCCUUGGGAACCGCGCUGCCUCGACUGGGCUACCCCUUGCUGGGCAGCCCUGCGAAGCAGCUCCAUCAGGCAGCCCCUGGUCGCUCAGCGGCUGUGGCGGCGCCUGUCCUUUUCUCCUGCAGGGCCGCGGAGAAGGGAAGGCGGAAUCCACAGCUGUCGGCGCCUGAGCAUCAGCUGCCCACCAGCGCAGCGCAGCUGGCCAUCAAAGGCACACCUGAACUUGAAUUCUGUGCAGCUGAUUGCAGAGCUGUCUUGAUGCCCGCCUAGAGGACCCGGAUCUGCGACCCCCUGUGGACAGAGAUUGACCAUAUCCCUGAGACGAGAUUUCUCACGGAG
RNAcentral lists this long non-coding RNA (367 nucleotides) under Microcebus murinus (gray mouse lemur). RNAcentral's name for it is "lncRNA (ENSMICG00000048276.1)". The record is from RNAcentral. Lineage: Eukaryota; Metazoa; Chordata; Mammalia; Primates; Cheirogaleidae.